UACGGGGGGGGCAAGCGUUGUUCGGAAUUACUGGGCGUAAAGGGCUCGUAGGUGGCCAACUAAGUCGGACGUGAAAUCCCUCGGCUUAACCGGGGAACUGCGUCUGAUACUGGAUGGCUUGAGUUCGGGAGAGGGAUGCGGAAUUCCAGGUGUAGCGGUGAAAUGCGUAGAUAUGUGGAAGAACACCGGUGGUGAAGACGGUUUUCUGGGCCAAUCCUGACGCUGAGGCGCGAAAGUGUGGGGAGCGAACAGG
RNAcentral lists this ribosomal RNA (253 nucleotides) under uncultured bacterium. RNAcentral describes it as "partial 16S ribosomal RNA". It matches the Rfam family "Bacterial small subunit ribosomal RNA", at positions 524 to 776 of the family's 1533-position model. The record is from RNAcentral.